This 79-nucleotide unclassified non-coding RNA is filed under the name Pseudomonas lini. Lineage: Bacteria; Pseudomonadati; Pseudomonadota; Gammaproteobacteria; Pseudomonadales; Pseudomonadaceae. The record is from RNAcentral.
UGUAGGAGCUGCCGCAGGCUGCGAUCUUUUGAUCUUCGGCAUCAGCCGGAAAAGAUCGCAGCCUGCGGCAGCUCCUACA